This 433-nucleotide ribosomal RNA is filed under the name uncultured bacterium. Its description in RNAcentral is "partial 16S ribosomal RNA". It matches the Rfam family "Bacterial small subunit ribosomal RNA", at positions 29 to 507 of the family's 1533-position model. The record is from RNAcentral.
AACGAACGCUGGCGGCAUGCCUAACACAUGCAAGUCGAACGAGACCUUCGGGUCUAGUGGCGCACGGGUGCGUAACGCGUGGGAACCUGCCUUUAGGUUCGGAAUAACUCAGAGAAAUUUGAGCUAAUACCGGAUGAUGUCUUCGGACCAAAGAUUUAUCGCCUUUGGAUGGGCCCGCGUUGGAUUAGCUAGUUGGUGGGGUAAAGGCCUACCAAGGCGACGAUCCAUAGCUGGUCUGAGAGGAUGAUCAGCCACACUGGGACUGAGACACGGCCCAGACUCCUACGGGAGGCAGCAGUGGGGAAUAUUGGACAAUGGGCGAAAGCCUGAUCCAGCAAUGCCGCGUGAGUGAUGAAGGCCUUAGGGUUGUAAAGCUCUUUUACCCGAGAUGAUAAUCACAGUAUCGGGAGAAUAAGCUCCGGCUAACUCCGUG